UCCGAGUUGACCCCGGCAGUCUCCUGCGAGUCCCCGCCAUUACGCGCUGGCAACACAGGACAAGGGUUGCGCUCGUUGCGGGACUUAACCCAACAUCUCACGACACGAGCUGACGACAGCCAUGCAGCACCUGUGUCACGGUUCCCGAAGGCACCCCCCAAUCUCUCGGGGGUUCCGUGCAUGUCAAGGCCAGGUAAGGUUCUUCGCGUUGCAUCGAAUUAAACCACAUACUCCACCGCUUGUGCGGGCCCCCGUCAAUUCCUUUGAGUUUCAGUCUUGCGACCGUACUCCCCAGGCGGCGAACUUAACGCGUUAGCUUCGACACUGAGCUCCAAGUUGAGCCCAACGUCCAGUUCGCAUCGUUUAGGGCGUGGACUAC
This 379-nucleotide unclassified non-coding RNA is filed under the name uncultured Lysobacterales bacterium. RNAcentral's name for it is "uncultured Xanthomonadales bacterium contains 16S-23S intergenic spacer region". The record is from RNAcentral. Lineage: Bacteria; Pseudomonadati; Pseudomonadota; Gammaproteobacteria; Lysobacterales.